RNAcentral lists this ribosomal RNA (571 nucleotides) under Beauveria bassiana. RNAcentral's name for it is "eukaryotic LSU rRNA". The stretch from base 192 to 345 matches the Rfam family "5.8S ribosomal RNA". The record is from RNAcentral. Lineage: Eukaryota; Fungi; Ascomycota; Sordariomycetes; Hypocreales; Cordycipitaceae.
CCGUCUGGUACGCGGCAGGGAUCAUUACCGUAUAAUUUCAACUCCCUAACCCUUCUGUGAACCUACCUAUCGUUGCUUCGGCGGACUCGCCCCAGCCCGGACGCGGACUGGACCAGCGGCCCGCCGGGGACCUCAAACUCUUGUAUUCCAGCAUCUUCUGAAUACGCCGCAAGGCAAAACAAAUGAAUCAAAACUUUCAACAACGGAUCUCUUGGCUCUGGCAUCGAUGAAGAACGCAGCGAAACGCGAUAAGUAAUGUGAAUUGCAGAAUCCAGUGAAUCAUCGAAUCUUUGAACGCACAUUGCGCCCGCCAGCAUUCUGGCGGGCAUGCCUGUUCGAGCGUCAUUUCAACCCUCGACCCCCCCUUGGGGAGGUCGGCGUUGGGGACCGGCAGCACACCGCCGGCCCUGAAAUGGAGUGGCGGCCCGUCCGCGGCGACCUCUGCGUAGUAAUACAGCUCGCACCGGAACCCCGACGCGGCCACGCCGUAAAACACCCAACUUCUGAACGUUGACCUCGAAUCAGGUAGGACUACCCGCUGAACUUAAGCAUAUCAAAAUGGGGAGGAAAU